RNAcentral lists this ribosomal RNA (253 nucleotides) under uncultured bacterium. Its description in RNAcentral is "partial 16S ribosomal RNA". It matches the Rfam family "Bacterial small subunit ribosomal RNA", at positions 524 to 776 of the family's 1533-position model. The record is from RNAcentral.
UACAGGGGGGGCAAGCGUUGUUCGGAAUUACUGGGCGUAAAGGGUCUGUAGGUGGCCAACUAAGUCAGACGUGAAAUCCCUCAGCUUAACUGGGGAACUGCGUCUGAUACUGGAUGGCUCGAGUGUGGGAGAGGAAUGCGGAAUUCCAGGUGUAGCGGUGAAAUGCGUAGAUAUCAAGUGGAACACCAGUGGCGAAGGCGAAUCCCUGGAAAAUACCUGACACUGAGGCACGAAAGCUAGGGGAGCAAACAGG